CCCUGGGCCGCACUAGGGAUGCAAAGAUUCAAACAAGGGUCCUUAGUCUUGAGGAAGAAGUGAAGUGGGGAAGACAGAAGUAACUACAGAUCUGCCUUCCCCGCUUGAAUUCUCGAUAACUUUCAAGAGCCAGGUGAGAAGAGGGCAGUGCUAUAGGAGGAGUGACCACUGGAGAUAUGCCAGAGUGCUAUGGCGAAUGCCACCAAGUCCAUGGGUCUGGCAAUGAUGGGCAAAUGAAGAUGGAUUUCUUGGAGCCCAGC
Balaenoptera musculus (blue whale) is the source of this 260-nucleotide long non-coding RNA. RefSeq lists it as uncharacterized. The record is from RefSeq and is a predicted model, not a curated record. Lineage: Eukaryota; Metazoa; Chordata; Mammalia; Artiodactyla; Balaenopteridae. The transcript is spliced from 3 exons.